CACGAGAAGGAGGGCGGUGCACCGAGGCCAAUGCACAUGAUGCAAAAUUUCAGAGAUGCUCUUGUUGAUUGCGAAUUGGACGACAUGGGUUGUAGUGGUGAUUUAUAUACUUGGAGGAGGAGGAGGCUUAGAGAAUGCCUCGACAGAGCGGUAUGUAAUGGUCAAUUCCAUGGGCUUUUUCCUGAGGCAAAGAUUACUAAUGCUGCACACACCAAGUCUGAUCACAGACCAAUAUUGAUUGAUACGGAGGGAGAUGUACAGGGGGACCAUCAGCGAACCCAUUAG
Molecule: ribosomal RNA, 285 nt
Filed under: Triticum aestivum (bread wheat)
Lineage: Eukaryota; Viridiplantae; Streptophyta; Magnoliopsida; Poales; Poaceae
Description: partial small subunit ribosomal RNA
Source: RNAcentral